RNAcentral lists this ribosomal RNA (460 nucleotides) under uncultured bacterium. RNAcentral's name for it is "partial 16S ribosomal RNA". It matches the Rfam family "Bacterial small subunit ribosomal RNA", at positions 338 to 795 of the family's 1533-position model. The record is from RNAcentral.
UCUACGGGAGGCAGCAGUGAGGAAUAUUGGUCAAUGGACGAGAGUCUGAACCAGCCAAGUAGCGUGAAGGAUGACUGCCCUAUGGGUUGUAAACUUCUUUUAUAAAGGAAUAAAACGAGGCACGUGUGCCUUUUUGCAUGUACUUUAUGAAUAAGGAUCGGCUAACUCCGUGCCAGCAGCCGCGGUAAUACGGAGGAUCCGAGCGUUAUCCGGAUUUAUGGGGUUUAAAGGGAGCGUAGAUGGUUUUUUAAGUCAGUUGUGAAAGUUUGCGGCUCAACCGUAAAAUUGCAAUUGAUACUGGCAGUCGUGAGGACAGUUGAGGUAGGCGGAAUUCGUGGUGUAGCGGUGAAAUGCUUAGAUAGCACGAAGAACCCCGAGUGCGAAGGCAGCUUACUAAACUGUGACUGACAUUGAUGCUCGAAAGUGUGGGUAUCAAACAGGAUUAGAUACCCCAGUAGUC